GAUGAACGCUGGCGGCGUGCUUAACACAUGCAAGUCGAACGGAAAGGCCGAAGCUUGCUUCGGUACUCGAGUGGCGAACGGGUGAGUAACACGUGGGUGAUCUGCCCUGUACUUCGGGAUAAGCUUGGGAAACUGGGUCUAAUACCGGAUAUGACGAUCUCUUGGAUGGGGUUGUGGAAAGCUUUUGCGGUAUGGGAUGAGCUCGCGGCCUAUCAGCUUGUUGGUGGGGUAAUGGCCUACCAAGGCGUCGACGGGUAGCCGGCCUGAGAGGGUGUACGGCCACAUUGGGACUGAGAUACGGCGCAGACUCCUACGGGAGGCAGAAGUGGGGAAUAUUGCACAAUGGGCGCAAGCCUGAUGCAGCGACGCCGCGUGGGGGAUGACGGCCUUCGGGUUGUAAACUCCUUUCGCAAUCGACGAAGCCUUUUGGUGACGGUAGGUUGAGAAGAAGCACCGGCUAACUACGUG
RNAcentral lists this ribosomal RNA (468 nucleotides) under uncultured bacterium. RNAcentral's name for it is "partial 16S ribosomal RNA". It matches the Rfam family "Bacterial small subunit ribosomal RNA", at positions 28 to 507 of the family's 1533-position model. The record is from RNAcentral.